GUGCUCACUUUGGCAGCACAUAUACUAAAAUUGGAAUAGUACAGAGAAGAUCAGCAUGGCCCCUGCACAACGAUGACAUGCAAUUUCAUGAAGCAUUCCAUAUUUUU
Molecule: small nuclear RNA, 107 nt
Filed under: Camelus dromedarius (Arabian camel)
Lineage: Eukaryota; Metazoa; Chordata; Mammalia; Artiodactyla; Camelidae
Source: RNAcentral